This is a long non-coding RNA of Etheostoma spectabile (orangethroat darter), 273 nucleotides long. RefSeq lists it as uncharacterized. Lineage: Eukaryota; Metazoa; Chordata; Actinopteri; Perciformes; Percidae. The record is from RefSeq and is a predicted model, not a curated record. The transcript is spliced from 3 exons.
AUCAGAUGUUUUAAAGGUCCAAUGUGUGGGAAUUUCUCCCCAUCGAGCGUUGAGAUCAUAUAUCGCGAUCAACUCUCUUGCGCCACGCAGCUUAAAGUACGUAAAACAGCUACAGUAGCCUUCAUGCUUUAAAAAAGACGGUCUUUUGGUCUUUCAAUAUCCUUUUUUCUUUUUCUGGGCUAAGAAGAAGACUCCUGUUGCUGAAAUGUGGAUUUUGAACAUGUGUGGUCCUACAUGUUUCUUUCUUCAAACUUGCCAAGGAAAACAAAGGGA